Molecule: long non-coding RNA, 812 nt
Filed under: Marmota monax (woodchuck)
Lineage: Eukaryota; Metazoa; Chordata; Mammalia; Rodentia; Sciuridae
Source: RNAcentral
UGGACCUUUUUUUAUUUUUAUAGGGUGCUGAGAAUCUAAACCAGUGUCUGACACAUGCUAGGCAAGUGCUCUACCACUGAACCACAACCCCAGCCGCUCUACAUUUAACCUUUUGAGGAACUGUCAGACUUCUGAGCAGCUGCACCUUUUACUCUCCCAUCAGCAGUGUAAAGGGUUCUAAUUUCUCAUCCUAACCAACACAUUAUUAGACUUCCUGAUUAUAGACAUCCUAGUGAUCAGGAAAUGGUAUCUAGUAGUUUUGAUUUGCAUUUUUUGAUGACCAGUUGACUAAAAGGUGUUGACCUUUCAUGUGCUCAUUGGCCAUCAGUUUUGGAGAACUAAUUCUGUAAAAGGAUAAACAAGUUUAUUUAUCUCUUUAUUAAUGAGUUAUAGUUAUACUGAUUCUGUGCCACCCCCUUUAUUUUGUUUUGGUGCUGGGGAUUGAAUCCAGGGCCUUGCACAUGGUAACCAAAAUCUAUCAGUGAACUAUACCACUAGCCCUUCUGUCUAAUCUUUUUGAUAAUUCUUCCAACAUAUUACAGAUUUAUGCAAUCAUUUCUUAGAAAAUAUCUCUGGAAAUAUUGGAAUCUUCCCCUCUUUGAUUGCAGUGGUUCACAGUGAGCUAAGCAUUCUGUGGCUAAUAAAAAAGGGCAAAGGAAAUUUUAAAAAUUGAGUCUCUUCUCUUAGCUGGUCCCAAUUUGUGUCCUUUUUUACAUGACAAAUCAGUAAUUAUAGGAUUCGUGCUCUCCUAACCUCAGUGAGAUGUUAAUAGAAAAUUAUACAAUAGGAUCAUGGGAAUCCCCGAAUUUGCA